Molecule: ribosomal RNA, 253 nt
Filed under: uncultured bacterium
Lineage: Bacteria
Description: partial 16S ribosomal RNA
Rfam family: Bacterial small subunit ribosomal RNA
Source: RNAcentral
UACGAAGGGGGCUAGCGUUGUUCGGAAUUACUGGGCGUAAAGCGCACGUAGGCGGGUCUGUAAGUAGAGGGCGAAAUCCCAGGGCUCAACCCUGGAACUGCCUUCUAGACUGCAGGCCUCGAGGUCAGGAGAGGCGAGUGGAAUACCGAGUGUAGAGGUGAAAUUCGUAGAUAUUCGGUGGAACACCAGUGGCGAAGGCGACUCGCUGGACUGAUACUGACGCUGAGGUGCGAAAGCGUGGGGAGCAAACAGG